UACGUAGGGUGCAAGCGUUGUCCGGAAUUAUUGGGCGUAAAGAGCUUGUAGGCGGUUUGUCGCGUCUGCUGUGAAAUUUCGGGGCUCAACCCCGAACUUGCAGUGGGUACGGGCAGACUAGAGUGUGGUAGGGGAGACUGGAAUUCCUGGUGUAGCGGUGAAAUGCGCAGAUAUCAGGAGGAACACCGGUGGCGAAGGCGGCACUCUGGGCCGGUACUGACGCUGAGGAGCGAAAGCGUGGGGAGCGAACAGG
RNAcentral lists this ribosomal RNA (253 nucleotides) under uncultured bacterium. RNAcentral's name for it is "partial 16S ribosomal RNA". It matches the Rfam family "Bacterial small subunit ribosomal RNA", at positions 524 to 776 of the family's 1533-position model. The record is from RNAcentral.